RNAcentral lists this long non-coding RNA (203 nucleotides) under Elaeis guineensis (African oil palm). Its description in RNAcentral is "long non-coding RNA (EGUI_LNC067983)". Lineage: Eukaryota; Viridiplantae; Streptophyta; Magnoliopsida; Arecales; Arecaceae. The record is from RNAcentral.
AGUACAUUACCUCUUUGGAUCCGAACAGGUCAAGAAAGAAGCAAGUUAUUACUGGACAAGAUAAUUAUAUGAUAACACCUUGUAAUUUCUCAAUUUUUAAUUCUACUAUCUGGGUAUUAGAUAUUGAAAGCUCUUUUAAUAUUUGUAAUUCGUUGCAGGAUCUGUAGGUCAGUAGGAGAUAUGAAGAAGGCGAAAGAUUUCUC